This 421-nucleotide ribosomal RNA is filed under the name uncultured bacterium. Its description in RNAcentral is "bacterial SSU rRNA". It matches the Rfam family "Bacterial small subunit ribosomal RNA", at positions 360 to 773 of the family's 1533-position model. The record is from RNAcentral.
AAUCUUCCGCAAUGGACGAAAGUCUGACGGAGCAACGCCGCGUGAGUGAUGAAGGUUUUCGGAUCGUAAAACUCUGUUGUCAGGGAAGAACAAGUAUCGGAGUAACUGCCGAUACCUUGACAGUACCUGACCAGAAAGCCACGGCUAACUACGUGCCAGCAGCCGCGGUAAUACGUAGGUGGCAAGCGUUGUCCGGAAUUAUUGGGCGUAAAGCGCGCGCAGGCGGUUUCUUAAGUCUGAUGUGAAAGCCCACGGCUCAACCGUGGAGGGUCAUUGGAAACUGGGAAACUUGAGUGCAGAAGAGGAGAGUGGAAUUCCACGUGUAGCGGUGAAAUGCGUAGAGAUGUGGAGGAACACCAGUGGCGAAGGCGACUCUCUGGUCUGUAACUGACGCUGAGGCGCGAAAGCGUGGGUAGCGAAC